CACUGGGCCUGCUGCUGGACUGCUUCUUUCUUCUUUUUUUCUGCUUCUUUCUUUCUUUUUUUCUGCUGCUUCUUUUUGGGCUGGCCUACUACUGCUGGGCCUGUUGGGUCGGGUCGCGGGUUGAAUUCGGGUCGGGUCGACCCGAUAUAUUAUUUUUUUAUUUUUCUUUCCCCUUUUUUCUUUCCUUUUUUUUCUUCUUUCUUCUAUGUUUCUUCUUUUCUUUUUUCUUUCUUCUCCGUUCAACCCCGACGGUGCACCCCCAGCCUGGCGCGUCGAUCAGCGGUGGCGCAUUGUGAAGCUCCCCUCUUCUCUUCUCUCUUUCUUCUUUGCUUGUUUUUUUCUUUUUGCUUGCUGUUUUUUUCUUUGACUUUGCUUUUUUUUUUAUUGGCUUUCUUUGUCUUUGGUGGAUGGGGGAACGACGGACGGCAGUGAGGGACGGCGGUGGACGCGGAGGCGUGGGGCUUUUUGCUGCUGCUUUUUGCUUGAUUUUUGCUUGAUUUUGUUGUUUUUUUUUUUGCUUUCCUUGGCUGCCGAAAAUCCCCCCCUUCUUCCUUUCAUCUCCCUCUUUUAAAUCCUUUCAAUUUUGUCUUCAGGUUGCAGGAGAGCCAUCAUGGCCUAGGGAGGCUGCUGGAGUAGCUCGGCUGGGGAGGGGUACGCUUGGCUGCUAUUACGGUGAUUUGACAAGUCCAGGAGGACCAAAUUGCAUAGGAUGCAAAGCUUCUAGGGUAAAAGUGCAAUUUUAGCAAAAAAUAUGGGCCAAAAUGUAAUUUCUUGAAAGUUUAGGGGUUAAAGUGAAAUUUUGAGAAAGUUUAAAGGUUGAAAUGUAAUUUUAGAAAAGUUUGGG
This 844-nucleotide long non-coding RNA is filed under the name Gossypium raimondii (Peruvian cotton). RNAcentral describes it as "long non-coding RNA (GRAI_LNC010986)". Lineage: Eukaryota; Viridiplantae; Streptophyta; Magnoliopsida; Malvales; Malvaceae. The record is from RNAcentral.